Molecule: non-coding RNA, 2769 nt
Organism: Oryctolagus cuniculus (rabbit)
Lineage: Eukaryota; Metazoa; Chordata; Mammalia; Lagomorpha; Leporidae
Source: RefSeq, a predicted model, not a curated record
CUGACCUCACGCACGGGUGGUCUGAGCUUGGCCGUGAUCAGCAGUCCUGCAGGAGCAAGCCAGUUAUGUGGUCACGUGGCCAGGGGAUCCCUGUGAGUCUUCAGUAAUUGUCAAAGUACAGUUCCAGUUUCCGUGUUUACUCAGUAACAAGUUCCCCUCUUGAAGUAAAGUGGCCAGGAAGGCCAGCAGGGUGCCAUUGAAAUAGAGAAGUUACUCUCACUGCCGGCGUCACUCACCAGUUACCACGUCAGCACCUUUGUUUAGUGUCCUUAUCAGUUGGCUUUGCUUAAAGCAUGUUUUCUCCGCUCUGAGUUCUGUUGAGUUAUUUGGAAACAGCUUGGCCAGCAGCAGUGAGAGCACCGGCCACACUCUGGGAUGGGCGCCUCCCAAGGGGAGCAGAGCCGGGGUGUGUGCUCUGUGCCCGCAGGCCUGCUGGUGAGGCUUUGGGCAGGGUCAGCUGCAGGACUCGGUCGCACGAGGCAGAACCGCGGCUGGGCUGCUCUCCGCUGUGGCUCAUCCGGCUCCUUGUGCUCGUGGGUCUGCGGUCGCUGUGCCCUGCUCGGCUGGGAAGGCGCUGGCCGGUCGAGUCACUCUCACAGUCUCAGUUGGACCUGAAGCCCUGCUCUGGGCACUGGAGUGGCUCAGGUGGUCCAGCGCAGUCUGUGUGUCACAUCAGCUAAGACUGGGAGCCCGCCUGGCCUCUCCAGUGCUCACAGGCGUGGGGUCUCAGUGUGCGCCCACCAGGAGUGUGCUGCCUGCAGGCGCCUCUGCCGCAGCCUCACGUCCCUCGGGCCGGCUGAGGCUCUGCAGACACCACUGCACCUGUGCGGCCCUGAGAGACCGAGAGGGAAGGGAGUCCACUGCCCCACAUCCUGGAUGGGCCCAGGAAACAGAACUGGGAGGGAGGCGCCGAUCCACGGCCCGGCAGACUGGUGCCUGUACCCAAGUUUCCCUGCCUCAUGAGCCGUGUCUGCCUCUGGGUCCUUUGUUCCUGGUUCCUGCGGUAGCCCUCUCGGCCGUCCCCAGUGUUAGAGUCGGGAUGCCCCACGAGCAGGGAGGGAUUCCUGGCUCACCCCUUUCGCUUGUGACUGGGGUCUGCCACCCUUGGUCUUGCCUGGUUUCAGCGUAUUUGCCAUCUGCAGAGUCUGAGGGUUUAUUUUCCUUUUUAAAAUAUUUAUGUAUUUGUUGGAAAGGCAGAUGAUAAAAGAGGAGAGAUCUUUCAUCCACUGGUUUAUUCUCCAAGCCAGGCUGAAGCCAGGAGCCAGGAACUCCAUCUGGGUCUCCCAUGCAGGUGCAGAGGCCCAGGCGCUUGGCCAUCCUCUGUGCAGCACAGCCCAGAUCCAGAGGGGAGUGAGCUCAGUGUGCCCCCCUGCAUGUGUGAGGGAUGACUGACGUGGAGCAGGCAAGAGGGGGUGGGAGACAGGUGUCCAAAUCCCAGCGAGCGUGGGAAGGCUGUCCUGGACGUGACCGUGUGAAGCGGAGCGGGGCAUCAGAUGUGCCCAUGGCUCACCCUGUCGAAAGGAGGCCACACGGGAGCCGUCCCCUGAGGCCAGACCUGUGAUCCUAUAGGAGUCACUGAACGUCUCGCCUUGGCAAACCCGGGAAGACUCAAAUAAAACAAAGGGCCUAUGAGAGCACAAACUCAGGGAGGAGGUCUGGCUCCUGGGAGGUGCAGUGUGUGAAGAUCUUUCACUUCCUUGAUCACAGAAAUGCAAAAUGUCAUUUUAAUUUCACAGGUCUGGGUCUUUGGGUAGAGUUUAUGCUAAGCGUCUCUCAGAGCACUGUGGAACCUUCCGGUGCUUCUCCAGGUGGACCAGUGUGGCCCUCGUGUGUCCUGACCUUUAGUUGCCCUGGAGGGUAUUUGAUAGCCCAGGAAAAACAGCACCGAGCGAGCUGUGUUGUGCAGCAGAGUCUGUGUCCUGGAAGGGUGUGAGCAAGCGGUAGGAGCAGGGGAGAGUGGGCGGGUCUCCGUGCAGGUUCUCAGAUCCUGAUGGGAGUCACUAGGAGCAGGGGAGUGGGCGGGUCUCCGUGCAGGUUCUCAGAUCCUGAUGGGAGUCACUAGGAGCAGGGGGAGUGGGCGGGUCUCCGUGCAGGUUCUCAGAUCCUGAUGGGAGUCACUAGGAGCAGGGGGAGUGGGCGGGUCUCCGUGCAGGUUCUGAGAUCCUGAUGGGAGUCGCUAGGAGCAGGGGGAGUGGGCGGGUCUCCGUGCAGGUUCUCAGAUCCUGAUGGGAGUCACUAGGAGCAGGGGAGUGGGCGGGUCUCCGUGCAGGUUCAGAGAUCCUGAUGGGAGUCGCUAGGAGCAGGGGGAGUGGGCGGGUCUCCGUGCAGGUUCUGGGAUCCUGAUGGGAGUCACUAGGAGCAGGGGAGUGGGCGGGUCUCCGUGCAGGUUCUGGGAUCCUGAUGGGAGUCACUAGGAGCAGGGGAGUGGGCGGGUCUCCGUGCAGGUUCUGGGAUCCUGAUGGGAGUCACUAGGAGCGGGGGAGUGGGCGGGUCUCCGUGCAGGUUCUGGGAUCCUGAUGGGAGUCACUAGGAGCAGGGGAGUGGGCGGGUCUCCGUGCAGGUUCUGAGAUCCUGAUGGGAGUCACUAGGAGCAGGGGAGUGGGCGGGUCUCCGUGCAGGUUCUGGGAUGCUGAUGGGAGUCACUAGGAGCAGGGGAGUGGGCGGGUCUCCGUGCAGGUUUUCUGAGAUCCUGAUGGGAGUCACUAGGAGCGGGGGAGUGGGCGGGUCUCCGUGCAGGUUCUGGGAUCCUGAUGGGAUCGAUGCCUUCCU